UCUGGAAGUAUGAAUCAACCACCGCCAGUACUCUUGUGGCUUAGAGAAGAUCAUGGCACAGGAUUAUUAGUUUUCUUGGUUAAGUCCCAUGUUCAAAGUUAUAGACUAAGUUGUUUUUGUAUGGCCGAGUUUGAAUGGAACAAAUGGUCGUGCGGCUAUGGAUGUCUCCCCUGACAAAACGGUUACGAGUCUCCAAGCAGUGUUAGUAAUUUCUGCAACCGAAACUGAAUUUAAAGGAGAUGACGCCUUGUAUCGACGGUGUCGUAGGAACAGUGAGAUUCAGGGUUUUUGCUCGAUGACGGAUUUGCCGGAAAUUAGGAUUUGUUCUUGAACAAAGACGAUGGAGUUUGAG
This 352-nucleotide long non-coding RNA is filed under the name Nicotiana benthamiana. RNAcentral describes it as "long non-coding RNA (NBEN_LNC011033)". The record is from RNAcentral. Lineage: Eukaryota; Viridiplantae; Streptophyta; Magnoliopsida; Solanales; Solanaceae.